AGGAUUAACGCUGGCGGCGUGCCUAACACAUGCAAGUCGAACGAGGGGGGCAACCCCCGAGUGGCAGACGGGUGAGUAACGCGUGGUCAACCUACCCUAGAGUGGGGAAUAACUAGCCGAAAGGUUAGCUAAUACCGCAUGAUACGUUUUGGGACAUCCCAGGACGUUGAAAGGAGCAAUCCGCUCGAGGACGGGACCGCGUCCGAUUAGCUAGUUGGUGAGGUAACGGCCCACCAAGGCUCCGAUCGGUAGCUGGUUUGAGAGAGCGACCAGCCACACUGGGACUGAGAAACGGCCCAGACUCCUACGGGAGGCAGCAGUGAGGAAUUUUCCGCAAUGGGCGAAAGCCUGACGGAGCGACGCCGCGUGUGGGAGAAGGCCUUCGGGUCGUAAACCACUGUCGAAGGGGACUAGUACUGAAGGUACCCUUGGAGGAAGCCCGGCAACUACGUGCCAGCAGCCGC
Molecule: ribosomal RNA, 464 nt
Filed under: uncultured bacterium
Lineage: Bacteria
Description: SSU rRNA
Rfam family: Bacterial small subunit ribosomal RNA
Source: RNAcentral